GAAAAUUAGCCAAAUCAAAAGCAUAGACUGCCCUAAUUAAACAACACAGAAAAGAGAAAAGGAAGGGAUCUCCCUGAUGCUGCCAGCGAUCGGAAAUCAGCUCGCAUACACUGCUCGGCGGCUCCACAUGAAUUAGAACUGGCUUUGUAGUGUCCUCGGGCAGCGAAUCUAGUUGUCGCUUGCACGCGCGUGCUUGGAUGGAACACCUUCAGCCAGGAACCUACGACGCAUGCGUAUAGCACGCCCUCACGAGUUGUGUCCGUUGCUUAGUUUGUAGCAGACCUCGGUUCUGACGUACAACCAGGCGCGCACCCAGCCGCCACCGCUCGGAUUUUCUCGAUCUCAAUCUGACUGUAAACAAAGUCGCACAAAGCAGCAACCAUAAUCUUGCAAAAUAAACAGUUUAAGCGGAAUAGAUCUAACUCAAAAAAUAUCACCUGAUCAUUCAUCAAUCCGUGACGAUCGCCCAACAGGUUCUAAGCUAGGCAAUUUAAAGCGAUGGUAACAUGGACACGGGAUUUUAUUCAGGUUUGGACUCUCGCAAGUAGAUGAUUCCCGAUGUCCAGCUUUUGACUGUAUUGAUAUGGG
This 588-nucleotide long non-coding RNA is filed under the name Hordeum vulgare. Its description in RNAcentral is "long non-coding RNA (HVUL_LNC009701)". Lineage: Eukaryota; Viridiplantae; Streptophyta; Magnoliopsida; Poales; Poaceae. The record is from RNAcentral.